UACGAAGGGGACUAGCGUUGUUCGGAUUUACUGGGCGUAAAGCGCGCGUAGGCGGAUCGCUAAGUCAGGGGUGAAAUCCCAGGGCUCAACCCUGGAACUGCCUUUGAUACUGACGGUCUGGAGAUCGGGAGAGGUUGGUGGAAUUCCGAGUGUAGAGGUGAAAUUCGUAGAUAUUCGGAGGAACACCAGAAGCGAAGGCGGCCAACUGGCCCGAUACUGACGCUGAGGAGCGAAAGCGUGGGUAGCAAACAGG
This 253-nucleotide ribosomal RNA is filed under the name uncultured bacterium. RNAcentral describes it as "partial 16S ribosomal RNA". It matches the Rfam family "Bacterial small subunit ribosomal RNA", at positions 524 to 776 of the family's 1533-position model. The record is from RNAcentral.